AGCCAACUUGUGGUGUGAAAUGUAUGUCUGAGGAAGAAGCUAUUAGAGUCGGUGGUACUAAUCAUAGCCACGCGACCAAGGAUCUUUACGAUUCAAUUGCAGCUGGAAACUAUCCUGAGUGGAAACUUUUCAUCCAAACAAUGGACCCUGAGGAUGUAGACAAGUUCGAUUUUGAUCCUCUGGAUGUAACCAAGACAUGGCCUGAGGAUCUCUUGCCGUUGAUCCCAGUUGGUCGAUUGGUAUUGAACAGGAACAUUGAUAACUUCUUUGCUGAGAAUGAGCAGCUCGCGUUUAACCCUGGACAUAUCGUCCCUGGUAUUUACUAUUCCGAGGAUAAGCUUCUCCAGACUAGGAUAUUCGCGUAUGCUGAUACUCAGAGACACCGUAUUGGACCAAACUAUAUGCAGCUCCCAGUUAAUGCUCCCAAGUGUGGUCAUCACAACAAUCAUCGCGAUGGUGCCAUGAACAUGACACAUCGCGAUGAAGAGGUACUAUGCACUCGACAAUUGGUGCUCCUUAUGUUGUUGCCUUUGUUCAAACAUUUCAUUCUUCUGAUGUAUAACUAAAUGUUUCAGGUGGAUUAUUUGCCCUCGAGGUUUGAUCCUUGUCGUCCUGCUGAGCAGUACCCAAUUCCUG
RNAcentral lists this long non-coding RNA (636 nucleotides) under Solanum tuberosum (potato). Its description in RNAcentral is "long non-coding RNA (STUB_LNC011892)". Lineage: Eukaryota; Viridiplantae; Streptophyta; Magnoliopsida; Solanales; Solanaceae. The record is from RNAcentral.